Python bivittatus (Burmese python) is the source of this 1187-nucleotide non-coding RNA. The record is from RefSeq and is a predicted model, not a curated record. Lineage: Eukaryota; Metazoa; Chordata; Lepidosauria; Squamata; Pythonidae.
GCUUCAGUAAAAUGAAGACAAGCUACAGAGAUGGCAAGAAGGAAGCGUUUUCUGCUGCAAUAGAAAAAUGAUGGUCUACUCAUCUAGCAUGAACAGAUGGACAAGAAAUAUGCAAAAAAUAUAUAUGAGGAACUGAAGUCAGAGAGCAGCAGAAUAGACUUGGAAUACCCUGCAAGUUUUAUGGGCAGGCCAAACGUCAGGGAAGAUAUUCUAAGACCCCACUGGAACAUGACUGCUCUUGUGGAAGAGAGGAUGUUGAAACAGCCCAGCAUUAUGGUGUGACAUUUACAAGAAUAUCCAAAAUAUCUAUAUUCUACCUCUCCUUCAACAAUACCCUGGGCAGCAUUUUGGCAUUAUACUAUGUCAGCUGAACCUUUGGAGGGGUGAGAUGAGCCUGGGAACUGUGAGUCAAGUAAGAAAAUGUCCUGCAAAUAAACUCUGUGAGCUUCAGCAUUGCACAUGGAAAGAUUGCCUUUUCAGCUAUUCAAGACUUACAACAGCUGAACAAGAAGCAAAGUGGCUCGACUACUGAACAAUGGCAUUCAGUUCACACAAGGGUAGAUCAACUUCUGGAGUGGUGCAAAGACUACAUGAGGAAGUAUUCACAGUUUUCACCUCUGCCAGUUGUCACCUCAUAAAAUUUUCCCAUAACAUUCAGGAGCAGCUGGGAGCUGGGUGUGAAGAUGUAAGAUACAACAGACAGCACAACUUUAAUAAUCCAGUGCAUGUGCAGAAGUAAAUCUGGGCCCACAAAAGUUUAAAAUGUUUGUUUUUAUUUUUCUUCUUUCUGCCUUGACUUUAGAUUUUCCACCUUUACUAAAAUACCUGUUGAAAUGGGGGGGGACAGGGGAAACAGAUUGCAUUUUCUCAGCCAAGUUGAGAAUUGUUUGGUGAAUGGUAGUAUCUUGUUACCUGGUUUAAUUUCUUAUUUGUUCACUCCCUGACACUGGAGACUGGUUUUCCACCCUUGGAUUAGAAGAUGGAUGCAAUAACUUUUGGAUUACCUCUUCUGUUCUUUUACAAGGGUAAAAACAUGGUAGACUAGUUAAAAUCUUUUCCACAAUCCAGUAACUAUGCUGCCUCUGGAAUAAAAUCAAACUUCUCUGAAUGGUUAAACAACUACAGCAUAAUUGGUGGAGGAAGAAAAGCCUGGAUGAUCCGACUCCCCUGUGACUGCUACUGGCCAA